CGACUUCUGAAGAGUCGCAAACUAGGACGAAACAGCUGUCUAGUAC
Molecule: non-coding RNA, 46 nt
Filed under: Trichobilharzia regenti
Lineage: Eukaryota; Metazoa; Platyhelminthes; Trematoda; Strigeidida; Schistosomatidae
Source: RNAcentral